CCUACGGGUAGCAGCAGUGGGGAAUAUUGGGCAAUGGGCGCAAGCCUGACCCAGCAACGCCGCGUGAAGGAAGAAGGCCCUCGGGUUGUAAACUUCUUUUGUCAGGGACUACGCAAGUGACGGUACCUGACGAAUAAUCCACGGCUAGCUACGUGCCAGCAGCCGCAGUAAUACGUAGGUGGCAAGCGUUAUCCGGAUUUACUGGGUGUAAGGGGCGUGUAGGCGGGGAAGCAAGGCAGAUGUGAAAUUCCAGGGCUCAACCAUGGAACGGCAUGUGAAACUGUUUUUCUUGAGUGAUGGAGAGGCAGGCGGAAUUACGUGUGUAGCGGUGAAAUGCGUAGAGAUACGGAGGAACAACAGUGGCGAAGGCGGCCUGAUGGACAUUAACUGACGCUGAGGCGCGAAAGCGUGGGGAGAAAACAGGAUUAGAUACUCCGGUAGUC
Molecule: ribosomal RNA, 443 nt
Filed under: uncultured bacterium
Lineage: Bacteria
Description: partial 16S ribosomal RNA
Rfam family: Bacterial small subunit ribosomal RNA
Source: RNAcentral